Hirundo rustica (Barn swallow) is the source of this 1991-nucleotide long non-coding RNA. RefSeq lists it as uncharacterized. NCBI's taxonomy places the organism in Eukaryota, Metazoa, Chordata, Aves, Passeriformes, Hirundinidae. The record is from RefSeq and is a predicted model, not a curated record. The transcript is spliced from 3 exons.
AGCUCCCGCCGGGCCGCGGGGACAGCGCCGCGGCCGCGCCGGCCUUGCGGAGCGGGACUGUGGUGAGCCGGCAGGACGGGCCUUGGGCCGGCCGGGGCCCCUGAAACAGCGUGUGAGAGAAUGGCUGGCAGCUUGUUAGUUCCUGAAAAUAAAACAUGGUGUGACAUUCCCAAAUUGGACUUAAUAAAUCAGUCUCAGAAAACACGCAGCCCCCUGACUCCCACGUAUAAAGUGUUACCUGACCUGGGCAUUUUCAGAAAAGACAGCAAGUGCCGCCGAGUACUUGAGCAGAGCAUAUCGAGAAAAUGGAAUUUAACUGGCUGCAGUACCUUGAACCACUUGGGAAACUAUAAGCUACUCAACUAGAGUGAAUAACAGUGUGAUGGAACAGACAUAAGGGUACCCAAAGUAUUUUUGAACUAGUACCUUGUUUCCAAAAGUGACUAUGAGCAGGUACCAAGGAAACAAGUGAGAAUUCCACAAGCUUAUAAUCACAAAGAUGAUCAGAGGGAUGGAACAGCUAUCCUAUGAAGAAAGGCUGAGAGAGUUGGGGUUGUACAGCCUGGAGAAGGCUCCAGGGAGACCUUACAGCACCUUCCAGUACCUAAAGAGAACUUAAAAGGGGAGAGUGACUUUUUACAGGUACAGAUAAUGAUAGGACAAGGGGGGAAGAGUUUUGAACUAAGAGGAGAGAUUUAGGUAGAUGUUAGGAAGAAAUUUUUUACUUAUGGGGUAAAGAGGCUUUGGAACAGGUUGCUCAGAGAAGCUGUGGAUGCCCGAUCCCUGGAAGUGUUCAAGGCCAGGCUGGACGGGGCUCUGAGCAACCUGGUCUAAGUGAAAGGCAUCUGCCCAUGAGAGAGGAGUUGAAACUGGAUCAUCCUUAGGGUCCCUGCCUACCCAAGCUUUUCUAUGAUUCUUUGAAUAUUUUCACAGAUAUUUUUCCAGCUUCCAACCAGAUGGCAUCCUCAACUGAAUGCCUUGUGGGUUUCUUUUGCCUCACCACCCCUCAAGUUUUUGUACCUAUCCCCAGUAGAUUUCUGUACCAUUAAUUUCCCCAUUCUCUGUGAACCCACAUCAAUCCCAGGCUUUGCCAAGGAGUUCUGCAGGUCUACUGCCAUCUUCAGGAAGCACCCUCUUGGCAUAUGUUGAAGUCAAGGCCUCUGAGCUCCAAUUGUGGCCACCCUUGCUUCUGUAGUAGAGAGAGUGAACUGCCAGUGGCAGCACAUUGUGUGUCCUGCUCCUGACUGUCUUCCACACAAUCCUCUAAACAGGCUGUUCAGGGCAGAGCCUUUUUCAGACCACUGUAUUACCUGCUGAAGUACCUUGCUGGCCUUUGGGAGGAAGGUAAUACUGAAUGCUCACAGCUUCUCUUGACUAGAUGCUGCAGGUCUGCCUGUGGUGAGCUGCCUCACAGUUUGUAUUGUUUCCUCUCCUAUCUGCCAGGGAUUAAUUAAUAGAUUUUUCUCAUAAGUAAUAAGACCAUUUAUAAUUAUUGCUUUUACAUAAUACUUGAUGUCUGUCUACACCUUACUUCAUUUUAGAGCAUAUCAGAUAUAAAGCCCUACCAGUGGCAAAUGUUUCCUUUUUCUUUUAAUAGGUACUUUCCAUAGAAUUUGUCAUUUAAUAAUCUUAACUCAGAUAAAAUCAAAUAAGAAACCUAUUUUGUGGUCUUGUUAAUGUAAGCCUACCUAGGAUGAAAUUCAAGAUACCAUCCAAUAACCUUUGUAAAUAUUUGCUUUAUAUGUUUCUCAGGAAGCUUCACAAGCCAAUUAUUUCAGCUUCCAUAAUGAGCUGGUUUUGAUGGCUUGCUGUUCAACACACCUCUAGUUAAGAGUUGUCAUUAACUCUGUUGUCUUCUUUGUUCUGUACGGUUGCAAGUACUUUGAGAGAGUUCAAAUAAAUACUAAGUAACAAUUGAUGUUUUUUAGCCUUAAUUCCAGGUUUAGCUAUCAUGGAUGAAACUGCCAACAGAUCAGAAGAAUGCAAGAGCU